Molecule: ribosomal RNA, 556 nt
Filed under: Curtobacterium flaccumfaciens
Lineage: Bacteria; Bacillati; Actinomycetota; Actinomycetes; Micrococcales; Microbacteriaceae
Description: bacterial SSU rRNA
Rfam family: Bacterial small subunit ribosomal RNA
Source: RNAcentral
UGGAACACCUCCUUAGAGUUUGAUCCUGGCUCAGACUCUGGCAUAUCCGUUGGAAACGACGUCUAAUACUGGAUAUGAUCACUGGCCGCAUGGUCUGGUGGUGGAAAGAUUUUUUGGUUGGGGAUGGACUCGCGGCCUAUCAGCUUGUUGGUGAGGUAAUGGCUCACCAAGGCGACGACGGGUAGCCGGCCUGAGAGGGUGACCGGCCACACUGGGACUGAGACACGGCCCAGACUCCUACGGGAGGCAGCAGUGGGGAUAUUGCACAAUGGGCGAAAGCCUGAUGCAGCAACGCCGCGUGAGGGAUGACGGCCUUCGGGUUGUAAACCUCUUUUAGUAGGGAAGAAGCGAAAGUGACGGUACCUGCAGAAAAAGCACCGGCUAACUACGUGCCAGCAGCCGCGGUAAUACGUAGGGUGCAAGCGUUGUCCGGAAUUAUUGGGCGUAAAGAGCUCGUAGGCGGUUUGUCGCGUCUGCUGUGAAAUCCCGAGGCUCAACCUCGGGCUUGCAGUGGGUACGGACAGACUAAAGUGCGGUGGGGGAGAUUGGAGUUCAU